Columba livia (rock pigeon) is the source of this 589-nucleotide long non-coding RNA. RefSeq lists it as uncharacterized. The transcript has 2 exons. Lineage: Eukaryota; Metazoa; Chordata; Aves; Columbiformes; Columbidae. The record is from RefSeq and is a predicted model, not a curated record.
GGUUCAGAUUGGAUAUUAUGAAAAAAUUGUUCACAGAAAGGGUUGUGAAGCACCAGAACAGGCUGCCCUGAGAAGUGGUAGAGUCACCAUCCCUGGAGGUGUUUAAAAGGCAUUUAGAUGAGGUUCUUAGGGACGUGGUUUAGUGCCAGAGUUAGGUUACAGUUGGACUCUAUGAUAUUGAGGGUCUCUUCCAACCAAAAUAAUUCUAUGAUUCCCCACAGGUGACUCCGGAAAGCACAUCAAGAAAAUCAGUGCUCAGAUUUGGAACUUGAAUAGUGUCAACGUGAACCAGGUCAGGGCUUAUGCCCCAGAUUCUGAUUCAGACAGGGUUGCUCCAUUAACCACCACCAAAAGCAGCUCUACAGCCUGUGAUAGUCCUCCCAAGUAGGCUGCCAAACAGCUGAAGUUCCCUUCACAGAUGAAGACCACUGCUUAACACCGAGUAUUUUUAGCCAUCAGAAAAUUGACUGGUCAGCGUAACUGAGAUACUACCACAUACUAUCCUUCCCCUGAAUCUUCCUCACACAGUUCUACCAGCCUAGAGUUAGUGAUUCAAUAUUCUACAAUUACAAGUUUCUGAAGAAGUCAA